GAGCGGCGGACGGGUGAGUAAUGCCUGGGAAAUUGCCCUGAUGUGGGGGAUAACCAUUGGAAACGAUGGCUAAUACCGCAUAAUAGCUUCGGCUCAAAGAGGGGGACCUUCGGGCCUCUCGCGUCAGGAUAUGCCCAGGUGGGAUUAGCUAGUUGGUGAGGUAAUGGCUCACCAAGGCGACGAUCCCUAGCUGGUCUGAGAGGAUGAUCAGCCACACUGGAACUGAGACACGGUCCAGACUCCUACGGGAGGCAGCAGUGGGGAAUAUUGCACAAUGGGCGCAAGCCUGAUGCAGCCAUGCCGCGUGUAUGAAGAAGGCCUUCGGGUUGUAAAGUACUUUCAGCAGUGAGGAAGGCGGGUACGUUAAUAGCGUGCUCGUUUGACGUUAGCUGCAGAAGAAGCACCGGCUAACUCCGUGCCAGCAGCCGCGGUAAUACGGAGGGUGCGAGCGUUAAUCGGAAUUACUGGGCGUAAAGCGCAUGCAGGUGGUUUGUUAAGUCAGAUGUGAAAGCCCGGGGCUCAACCUCGGAAUUGCAUUUGAAACUGGCAGACUAGAGUACUGUAGAGGGGGGUAGAAUUUCAGGUGUAGCGGUGAAAUGCGUAGAGAUCUGAAGGAAUACCGGUGGCGAAGGCGGCCCCCUGGACAGAUACUGACACUCAGAUGCGAAAGCGUGGGGGAGCAAACAGGAUUAGAUACCCUGGUAGUCCACGCCGUAAACGAUGUCUACUUGGAGGUUGUGGCCUUGAGCCGUGGCUUUCGGAGCUAACGCGUUAAGUAGACCGCCUGGGGAGUACGGUCGCAAGAUUAAAACUCAAAUGAAUUGACGGGGGCCCGCACAAGCGGUGGAGCAUGUGGUUUAAUUCGAUGCAACGCGAAGAACCUUACCUACUCUUGACAUCCUCAGAAGUGACUGGAGACAGUCUAGUGCCUUCGGGAACUGAGAGACAGGUGCUGCAUGGCUGUCGUCAGCUAGUGUUGUGAAAUGUUGGGUUAAGUCCCGCAACGAGCGCAACCCUUAUCCUUGUUUGCCAGCGAGUAAUGUCGGGAACUCCAGGGAGACUGCCGGUGAUAAACCGGAGGAAGGUGGGGACGACGUCAAGUCAUCAUGUCCCUUACGAGUAGGGCUUCACACGUGCUACAAUGGCGCAUACAGAGGGCGGCCAACUUGCGAAAGUGAGCGAAUCCCAAAAAGUGCGUCGUAGUCCGGAUUGGAGUCUGCAACUCGACUCCAUGAAGUCGGAAUCGCUAGUAAUCGUAGAUCAGAAUGCUCCGGUGAAUACGUUCCCGGGCCUUGUACACUCCGCCCGUCACACCAUGGGAGUGGG
Molecule: ribosomal RNA, 1326 nt
Filed under: Vibrio sp. 6D1
Lineage: Bacteria; Pseudomonadati; Pseudomonadota; Gammaproteobacteria; Vibrionales; Vibrionaceae
Description: bacterial SSU rRNA
Rfam family: Bacterial small subunit ribosomal RNA
Source: RNAcentral